GCCGGGAUGGUGGAAUUGGCAGACACAUACGUUUGAGGGGCGUAUGCCGAAAAGGCGUGAGGGUUCAAAUCCCUCUCCCGGCACCA
RNAcentral lists this transfer RNA (86 nucleotides) under Candidatus Omnitrophota bacterium. Its description in RNAcentral is "tRNA-Leu". It matches the Rfam family "tRNA". From Rfam's summary of the family: Transfer RNA (tRNA) molecules are approximately 80 nucleotides in length. Their secondary structure includes four short double-helical elements and three loops (D, anti-codon, and T loops). Further hydrogen bonds mediate the characteristic L-shaped molecular structure. tRNAs have two regions of fundamental functional importance: the anti-codon, which is responsible for specific mRNA codon recognition, and the 3' end, to which the tRNAs corresponding amino acid is attached (by aminoacyl-tRNA synthetases). tRNAs cope with the degeneracy of the genetic code in two manners: having more than one tRNA (with a specific anti-codon) for a particular amino acid; and 'wobble' base-pairing, i.e. permitting non-standard base-pairing at the 3rd anti-codon position. RNAcentral also lists the same sequence under 1 other name. The record is from RNAcentral. Lineage: Bacteria; Pseudomonadati; Candidatus Omnitrophota.